Molecule: ribosomal RNA, 210 nt
Filed under: uncultured bacterium
Lineage: Bacteria
Description: partial 16S ribosomal RNA
Rfam family: Bacterial small subunit ribosomal RNA
Source: RNAcentral
UACGGAGGGGGCUAGCGUUGUUCGGAAUUACUGGGCGUAAAGCGCGCGUAGGCGGACCUGCAAGUCGGGGGUGAAAGCCCGAGGCUCAACCUCGGAACUGCCUUCGAUACUGCGGGUCUCGAGUCCGGGAGAGGUGAGUGGGAAUUCCUAGUGUAGAGGUGAAAUUCGUAGAUAUUAGGAAGAACACCAGUGGCGAAGGGCGGCUACACC